RNAcentral lists this long non-coding RNA (1288 nucleotides) under Macaca mulatta (Rhesus monkey). RNAcentral describes it as "lncRNA (ENSMMUG00000057781.1)". Lineage: Eukaryota; Metazoa; Chordata; Mammalia; Primates; Cercopithecidae. The record is from RNAcentral.
GUGAAUUCCAAGGUAUCUGACAGCAGAAAAUUGGUGGUGAGGCUUACGCAAAGAAUAGAGCUUUGUGAAACUGAAAUCUCACAACAGACCUUUAUCGUCAUUACAACAUAAGCAGAUCUUCAACAAGCAUUUGCUACUGAAACAUACAGUGAUAUGUACUGAGUGGGACCAGCACAGCAAACAAUAACCCCUGGAGCCGUCACCCUAUUCUUGUCUAGCGGGAACCUUGCUCUUUCAACACCCUUUUUGGGAACAACAAUUUUCCUUGAUUUUACUUCCAAGAACAGGCUGUCUUUACCAAGCCAUGAGACUUGACAGAAGAUUGUGAACCUUAGCUGCUGUUUUAAAAUUCAGACAUUCGCUUUAUGCUCUAGUACCUAGAGAGAGGGGGACAAAUGAGGCAGACUUUUCAUGUCCAUAAAGUACAAUAGGCAUUAAAGCUAAUGUGCAGAGGAGAGAUUUGGGCUGUGUACUUGGCUGCUGCAGGACGGGCGCCACACCUUUCAGUUGUGCCUUUGCUAAUGGAGAGGCAGGGACCAGAUCCUCAUCCUCUGGAAUACUUGGGGAAGAUGGUGUUUGUCUUGUCUUACAUCUGUUUCUGAGUCGUCCCCCUUGCAGCCUGAGUCAUGCACAACCCUUGGUUCUGGGUUAAAAGGAAUAGUCAGGUGAAAAGAGAAAAGGGGUGAGUGUUAUCUACUUCUCACGAUCUUACUCCCGGGUUGUAAUGAAAGUGGAUCUCAGAACUAAUUCUACCACGUAGGCAGAUAUUCAAUAAAGAAACAACCAUUAGCAAAACAAUAUAUUUAACCUGUUUCAUAAAUUCAUUGAAGUCCUGUAAGUUUUCCUCUUGGGGGCUGUAACCAUAACUUCAUUGAAAGGUUCACUUGGGGCAAACCCUAUAGCUCAAACAAGAUUCGCUUACCCUUAGAGCUGGGAAUAGGCAACCGGAAGUCUUUACACUGAUGGCUGAAUGCAGGACUCUUUUGGGAUCAACCCUGAAAAUGCAGGCCUCGCGACUCUCUAAAGACUUUCUUUUCUUUUUUUUUUAUGAUGUUCAUGCAAGAGGAGGAAGCGUCUCUGAAACAUUUUAGCCACUUUACAGAUCUUGAGUUCCACAAAUUUCACCAAUGAUUGCCCGUUUCUAAUAUCCAUUAUGUUCAUUAACAACCAUUAAUUUCUCCUAUGAAAACCCAUUUCUGAAAUUCAGUAUGCUAAUUAGCAAAACCUUUCUUGUUGAUUAGAGAUGUGGAUUACAGAAGGGCUUUUAGUAAUCGCCUCUGGAGUGAGG